Molecule: unclassified non-coding RNA, 2160 nt
Filed under: Hevea brasiliensis (rubber tree)
Lineage: Eukaryota; Viridiplantae; Streptophyta; Magnoliopsida; Malpighiales; Euphorbiaceae
Source: RNAcentral
UGCUAUUGUGCCUGCUCUUUCUAAAGAAAUCAGUGGGAGUCAAAAUAGUAAUCUACAAGUUUGUUAUUCCAUUACAUGGCAAGUGGUCCGUUGUCCAUUGGGGAAGGCUGGAUUGAAUUGUACCUCAGAAAGUAUAUGUUCUUGAGACAGUUCUCAGGAGAGAUUCCUCCCCUUUUGAAUCCUAUUAUUUGCCACUUGGUGGAAAAGUGUUGCCAGAUUCAGCUAAUUUUCCUAUUGAGCCCCUUUCAAGCAAUGCCACAUACGGUGGAGAAUCAAAUAAUUCUUGGACUUACUUUCUUUUGAACAUUCCCCGCGGUGCAGCUGGAGGAAACAUCCAUGUCCGACUAACAUCAGAUACAAAGAUAAAUUAUGAAAUAUAUGCUAGAGUUGGUGGAUCCCCAUCUCUUGACAAUUGGGACUAUUAUUAUGCAAACAGGACAAGAAGCAGUGAUGGUUCUGCAUUUUUCUUGUUGUAUAAUUCAAGUGAAGAAAAAGUUGAUUUUUACAUCCUAUAUGUUCAAGAAGGAACUUGGGCUUUUGGAUUGAGGCAUUUAAAUACCACCAAUAGCCCUUCAAAUGACCAGACUAUCAUGUCUGUUUCAGUUGAGAGAUGCCCAAGAAGAUGCUCCUCUCAUGGGGAGUGCAAAGUAGCUUUGGAUGCCAGUGGAUUGACAUCAUACAGCUUUUGCUCUUGUGAUCGAACUCAUGGAGGUUUUGACUGUAGCAUCGAAAUUGUAUCGCAUCGAGGCCACAUACAGCAAUCAAUUGCUCUUAUUGCAUCAAAUGCUGCAGCUGUGCUUCCUGCAUAUUGGGCUCUUCGGCAAAAGGCUUUUGCAGAAUGGGUGCUGUUCACAUCUAGUGGAAUUUCAAGUGGGUUAUAUCAUGCCUGUGAUGUAGGCACUUGGUGUGCAUUAUCAUUUAGUGUCUUACAGUUCAUGGACUUUUGGCUUUCAUUCAUGGCUGUGGUGAGCACCUUUGUAUACUUAACUACCAUUGAUGAAGUGUAUAAAAGGACAAUUCAGACAGUUGUUGCCAUUCUUACAGCCCUCAUGGCUAUAACUAAGGCUACCAGGUCUUCCAACAUCAUUCUUGUGAUGUCAAUUGGGGCACUUGGUCUUCUUAUUGGAUGGCUAAUAGAGUUCUCCACCCACAUUAGGUCACUUUCCUUUUCAACAGAAUUCUGUCUGAAUAUACCCACCAGAUGGCAAACAAUUAGGGGAUGGUUCAAUAAUUUAAUCAAGACACUUUGGAGAAGAUUUCGGUGGGGUUUUGUACUUGCGGGGUUUACUGCACUGACUAUGGCGGCCAUAAGCUGGAAACUGGAAAGCAGUGAAAGCUACUGGAUAUGGCACAGUUUAUGGCACGUCACUAUAUAUUCGUCUUCCUUCUUCUUCCUUUGUUCAAAAGUAGACACUGUAAAUAGUGAGAAUCAAAGACCUCCAGAUGGAAAUUAUGCAUUAACUCGACAGGAUUCAUUUCCCCGAGGUGAAUAGGAAGGGAACAGAGAUAUUUUUGCAAAAUUUAGCUCUCAACCUCUAAGAAAAUAAGUUGGUUGUCAAGGCCUGGAGGAAAAUUGGUUUUUUUUUCUUUUUUAGUAUAUCGGGAGAGUGGGGACUUGAACUUGACCCUGACAGGUGAGUGUUAUGUCUUCAGUUACUGUGCCAUGUCAGUCUAAGCAAGAAAAAUUAGUUGUUAAUGCUGAAUAAGACUUGUUCAGCAGACAAAGUAGCUCUUGCCAGAGUAAAAUGAAAGCAACAGCUAAAGCAGUCCGUUGCUAAUUAUUUCUGUUCUAUGUCCCCAUUUUUCAGUUGGCAAUUUUGUUUUAACAUUUAUGUAAAUUUUGUGUAAAGGCUUGGUAAAUUAGGUAAGAGGAUGGAUUGUAGUGUUACCUAUAAGUUUUAAAGGGGGAAUAGAGCGGGACGUGAUAAAGGUCAAGGUGCUUCGUUUGUGUACAGGUUGCUUGUUUCAGUAUUGAUUAGAAUUUUAUUGUUUGUUUAAAUUGUGUUAUAGUGGCUUCUGUGGCCUUAUUGUCAAGUGCUUAUAGCAAAGUCUGUAUGUGACGGUACAUGUUCUCAUUUGAUUAGACAAGGUUGCUGAUUAAAAAAACUAUUAAAUUACUGUAAUUUAUAGGAAUUCGAAUUCUAGAUUAAAACUGAAACA